GACGAACGCUGGCGGCGUGCUUAACACAUGCAAGUCGAACGGAAAGGCCCUGCUUUUGUGGGGUGCUCGAGUGGCGAACGGGUGAGUAACACGUGAGUAACCUGCCCUUGACUUUGGGAUAACUUCAGGAAACUGGGGCUAAUACCGGAUAGGAGCUCCUGCUGCAUGGUGGGGGUUGGAAAGUUUCGGCGGUUGGGGAUGGACUCGCGGCUUAUCAGCUUGUUGGUGGGGUAGUGGCUUACCAAGGCUUUGACGGGUAGCCGGCCUGAGAGGGGGACCGGCCACAUUGGGACUGAUAUACGGCCCAGACUCCGACGGGAGGCAGCGGUGGGGAAUAUGGCACAAUGGGCGGAAGCCUGAUGCACGAACGCCGCGUGCGGGAUGACGGCCUUCGGGUUGUAAGCCGCUUUCGCCUGUGACGAAGCGAGAGUGACGGUAAUGGGUAAAGAAGCACCGGCUAACUACGUG
This 468-nucleotide ribosomal RNA is filed under the name uncultured bacterium. Its description in RNAcentral is "partial 16S ribosomal RNA". It matches the Rfam family "Bacterial small subunit ribosomal RNA", at positions 28 to 507 of the family's 1533-position model. The record is from RNAcentral.